This is a long non-coding RNA of Rosa rugosa (rugosa rose), 1484 nucleotides long. RefSeq lists it as uncharacterized. The record is from RefSeq and is a predicted model, not a curated record. NCBI's taxonomy places the organism in Eukaryota, Viridiplantae, Streptophyta, Magnoliopsida, Rosales, Rosaceae. The transcript is spliced from 4 exons.
AGUGUUCUAGGUCUUAAUUGCUUAAGUGGAAAACUUAUAAUUCCUUAGGUAAAUCAACAAUGAGUCUUGCAUGCUUGUAUGGCGUUCCAACUUGUGUUCUUGGCUUAACUCAAUCAAACUUUCAUUGAUCUUUAUGCGUUAAAUAUGUUUUGUUAGUGAGUAGCGUUCUAUGACUAGCAUUGCAUGUUUAAUGGUGCGUUCAUCUAGUUAAUCUAAUUAAGGGAAGUAAUAAGAACUUUGUAUGCGUUCAUCUCUGUUCUUAAUUGAUUUCUAUCUUCAUCAUAUGUUGAUUCGUGAUUUAUGAUUUGAUAUUCUGUUUUCGUGUUAAUGGUUGAUAACUACAUCUUGCAUCUUAUCCGUCCAUCUUUUCCUUGAUUCAUGGUUUGAUCGAUCACUUGUAUUAUGUAAUUAGAUUAGAAUAUAAACACUUUCGAAAUCCCCCUAUUUUGUAAUUCUGUAAAUAUAUUUUGUUUUAUUUUUGUUUAUAUUUUGUGAAUAAUAAUAAUUUGUUUAACGUUUUUGACAGGAAGUAUACCCCAGUCCCCGGCUUAGAACGAUACCCUACUUACUCAUACUAAAAUUCGAUGCAGGGUUUAAAUUGACACUCAUUUUGACCGUAUCAAAAAGCCUGCAUUUAGUUGUUUGUCUGAUGAAGAAGAGUUCUGUCUGCAUUCUUUGUUUGAGGAGCAUACAGUCACCGUACUCCCAGGGGAAUUUCUUGCCCGACCGUAUCGGCCACCUAUUUCAUUCAAAAUCAAGAAACCUCAACCAAAGUUUCCCCUCCCACUCCCUCGCCUGAAAGUGUUUGAAGAGGUCUUUCAAAAUCAAGAAACCUCAACCAAAGUUUCCCCUCCCACUCCCUCGCCUGAAAGUGUUUGAAGAGGUCUUUCAAAAUCAAGAAACCUCAACCGAAGUUUCCCCUCCCACUCCCUCGCCUGAAAGUGUUUGAAGAGGAAGAAGAGGAGUUUCAUCUCCGGAAACUCUUUGAAGGGGACUCACUUCCUGCUGAUGAAGAAGAGGAGUUUCAUCUGCAUAAACUCUUUGAAGGAGACUCACUUCCUGCUGAUGAAGAAGAGGAGUUUCAUUUGCAUAAACUCUUUGAGAAUGAUGCUCCUUAUUCAGGUGCAUAUUUCCAACCAUGGUUCAGUUGUAGAUAAAUUUAUAAGGAUUAAUUUCAGUUUACCCCCCUGAGGUUUGGGGGUGUCAUCAUGUCACCCUCUCUAUUCUCAAUUUUGAAUUUUUACCCCCCAAACUUUCCAAUUUCAAUCAGCCGUGUCCAAUUUCUCCUAUUCCGUCCAAAUUGGACGUUAACUCUGACCUUUGAGGGCUAAAAUGAUCAUUUCAAGACCAAAAAACUAAAAUUUUAUUAUUUUUUUUUUUCCUGUUUUUUCGUUUUUUUUAUUUAUUUUUUAUUUUGUCUUCAACCUAUAUACCACAAGUUAUAAUAGGUUUAUAAAAACAAAAAGAUACUCUAGGUGGUUGAA